UACAACGAUAUCAUAUCUAAAGAUUAAAUGAUACAGGUUUCAUGAGCACAAUUAAUGAACUUUCUUGUUUUUUGAAAAUAUAAAAGCAUGUAUCAUUUUCAAUUUGAUGUUCAGUUAAUCAAACGAAAUCGUUGUUGCGACUUGAUAGAUGCAAUUGAAGUGCAAGCAAAAAUCAUUUGAAAUUAUAUUUAAAAAAAACUAAGACCUACAGGUCAUACAAUCUACAAUGGUAAACUUGUUUCGAAUGCUUAGGCCUGAAGAAGACGUAAGUCAAGGUAUUAAAGCUAAAAAUCCAUAUGCACAAGCAUCACCUUGGCACCAUGUUUCUCCAAGUUACAGGUUCUGCGCCUCUCAGUAUAUUUCUACAUGUAAAACAGAGGAUGCCGUGUGGGAGCUUGCUGGCAAAGCCUGUAAUCCUACAGGAAAUAGAAAAAUAAUAGCAAUAGAUGUUGACCUGUUAAAACAGCUGGUUCCAGAUUUUGAAUACAUUGAUCUUACGGAUCCUGCCACUCGUGAAUCAUGUAUUCCGGAGGAAGAUGAUUUUGCCAGGAACUGUGCAAGGAGAUUUGAAGAAAUACUUCUACAAAUACCAGUGAGUUGGGGACGAGAGCCCGUCAUUCCAGCGGAAUGCAUAUAUGUGAUAGGUUCUAUUUGAACGCUCAUUACCACAAAGUGUAAAGGUUUAAAACAAUUUAGAGAAAUUAAUUGCUAUAUGUUAUUCGGCAACAAAAGAACAAUUUAUUUUAUUGUAAAGCGGAGUUUAUUAUCCAUUAAAACUAUCAGCCGAAUGUGUAAUUGGAAUAGGUUAAUUUGAGAUCUAGUCUUGACAUUAUAAAACUCGUUAUGUGUAAGAAGAAUCUACAUUUGUACAUACUUUACCAGAAAGACAUUAAUGUAAAACUUAAUCAUUACUACUUUUUAUGUUAAUGUUUUAAUGAAUAACCACAGUUAUUAUUAUAUAGAUACGGAAGCCUAUUAGGGACAUUUUGUCUUAUUUUUUAUGCAUUACCUCUUAUGUGUGAUGUAUUAUGCGUUACGUAUUAUUUAUUACCUCUUAUAUUAUACACGUAAGGUAGAGGUGUAGCGGGAAACAUGAACUGAAUCCUUUACUGAUAUAUGGAUUAUAGAAAGUUUUCUUUCACAAAGCUCGACCGAAUAGCUGUUAACUGGAAUCUACAUUCCGCAUUGAAAGCCUGAUCUCAUAUACUUUGUUACCAAAGUAUUUGAUCGGCAUGAUUUUGGCAAGAAAGUACGCUAAGAAGAUGUCAAUAUGUGCUGUGAAAUGUGUGGGUCCCGUAGGAAGAUUUAUAGCCAAGACUCAAAAUGUCUAGUAAGACUGCUCAGACCUAUAGUGGUAAAAUUUCCAUACAUGUACAUGAUGCUAUAUAGAGAGCUAUUAACACUUGUUGAAGAAAAGUUUGAUUUAAUUACUUAUUAACAUAAUGAAAAUAUCUUUCAUUUCAUCAUAUCAUUUUUCAUUGCAUCUGUGAAAAUAAAGAUACGAUUGGAUA
Long non-coding RNA from Mercenaria mercenaria, 1511 nucleotides. RefSeq lists it as uncharacterized. The record is from RefSeq and is a predicted model, not a curated record. NCBI's taxonomy places the organism in Eukaryota, Metazoa, Mollusca, Bivalvia, Venerida, Veneridae. The transcript is spliced from 2 exons.